Molecule: long non-coding RNA, 1260 nt
Filed under: Felis catus (domestic cat)
Lineage: Eukaryota; Metazoa; Chordata; Mammalia; Carnivora; Felidae
Description: lncRNA (ENSFCAG00000053781.1)
Source: RNAcentral
CUUUUCCCCUUUCACCUACAUCAUUGGGUGGGCACCAAGGUCUUUGGAUAGAGGUAUGCUAAAUACAGCUUUCUCACCAACAGUCUGUAAAGCCUUUAGAAGGAGAGCCAGUUCUGCAAAUUGGCAUGCCUUUCAUAUUUAUCUUCACUCUUUUUAAAAAUUAAAUAUUUAUUUAUUUAUUUUGAGGGAGAGACAGACAGUGAGCUUGCAUGGGGGAGGAGCAGAGAGCGAGGGAGAGAGAAUCCCAAGCAGGCUCCACACAGUGUGGAGCCCAUUGUGAGGCUCAAUCUCACAAACCAUGAGUUCAUGACCUGAGCCAAAAUCAAGAUUCAAAAGCUUAACUGACUGAGUCACCCAGGUGCCCCCUUUAUCUAUCUUCAUUCUUAAUAGGGAUUUUUGGAGCCACAAGAUCUCAAUAGUGGUAGAAAGCUGAAAAAAGAAACAGUGAAAAUCAAUAAAGACUCAGAAAACAUUUUGAAGUAAACAUAUAUGUGUCAAGAUAAUGAGAAAUAUGUGUUUCCAUCCAUGCCUGUUUCCAGAGGACCCUCUCUCCAUUCCUGCUUCUGGACAGAAGACCUCUAUUCCACCAAAGAAGGGACACUUCAGAAGCUGGAAAACAAAGAACACCAAAUUCCUGGCUUUUAAAUGAAGCAAACGAAUGGAAAACUGCUCUUCAUGGCUAAGGGAAGAAGAUUCGGCAGGAUAGCUACCAAAGGACCAAUGCUGUGAUGCUGCAUGAGGCCUCUGCACUAUGAUGUCGCUCCUGGGAAAAGAAAGAGGAGAGAAAACGCCAGCAGACAAGGGGCAAAGAGAGAGGGAGAGAGAGAAUCCAAAGCAGACUCUGUGCCAUCAGCGCAGAGCCCGAUGCGAGGCUUGAUCUCACAAACUGUGAGAUGAUGACCUGAGCUGAAAACAAGAGUCAGAUGCUUAGCCAACUGAGCCAUCCAGGCACCCCUCUACCAAUCUAUUCUUUUAUCACUUCUGCUUUUGGUGUCCAUCAGUACUACUCCAAGGGGGGUAAAGCUACCUAGGUCACAGACAAAAAGAUGUAAACGACUUCAUUUUAAUUUCCCAUUGGUUGCUAACACCAUCUAUAAGUAUGUUUUAUGUCAGAAGUUCCUGUGUGGUUCUGGAAUGUUGUUUCUUAUCUUGACUUUCUGAUUUUUUUUUUUUUUUGAAUUAUGCCCGUUUCCAUCAGGGAAUGAGUUAUUGAUUUUCACUCAACCUACUUGUGCAUGGGGCACCGGUGGAGAGCCCAAC